UUCAGACAUUACUGAAAUUUUUAAAUGUGUCAUAUAAUGCAUGCAAUAUAUGCAUAUGUAUAUAGACAAUUUUUUUAUAGUUAAAUUUUUACAAAUUUUGGAUGAAGGAAUUACUAAAUGAUACGGAAUUUAAUAUACAUGGACCUGAUUGAUUAGUAUGUAAAUGUUAUGAUGGAUAUAAAGAUAUGGCAAUAUCUUUGUAACCAUUGUAGGAAAUAGAAAUUGUAAAAACCUUAUGAAUAAUAAAUUUCGAUUUCCACCGGAACGUUAGGUCGAUGAUAAGUUUUGAAAAAUGUCGUCGUUGCAUAUCCGUGAAUUUUGCGUACUUUUCAAUGUGGUAUCUCUUACCUGCGUUUUUCGGAACCACUGCAAGUGGCUGCUUUGAUUUAUAUCGGCGUUCCCGUCUGCACGAAGGAAAAUGGGUCAGAUAAAAGUUACAUAGUUUUAAAAAGAACGCGAAAUGGAUGAAAUAAAAUCUUUCUUGGUAGAAGCUCAUGGUUUGCGUCUUUUUUUUUUUACAAGAUCCUCUGGAUAAUAUAAGGGCAGAUAGAGAGAAAUUUUGAGUAAGAAAUGCGAAGUAAAACAUAUCGAUGUAAUAACGUGGGAAAUUGGAUAGUGAAACAUUGAUUUAUACAUUGAUUUAUACAUUAGUUACGUGAAACCUCCUAUUGGAAGUGAAAGAUAAUUUUAUCUUUCGAUGGAACGUUGAAAACUUUUUUGAGAUAUGCAUCCACCGUAAUCCGUUAAAAGAUAUAAUAAUCGAUGCAGCGCAUAUUUUCAAGCUUUCUUAAUAAUUUUUAAAAUGACAAAAAUUGCCGAGGAAUGGAAUCGCAGAGCGAACGUUAGCAGCCGGAUAACAUGACCGAGCUCGUGCUACACGAGAGAAAAAUUAAUAUCCAACGAGAUAAGCGGCAGGAAAAUAUAGAACGGCGAUAAAACUGUGGCAAACGUUCUUUGGCACUUAAUGUCCGGCGUGUAAUUUACCACGAGUUCGAGGUAGUUAACUUCCACUUUGAAGUACGCUGGCCCGGGAAAUUAGCUAUAAACUCGAGUUUAUCUGUAAACUUUUCUAGUGGUAAAACCUACCACUAAGGCGAAUAAUAAAUACAUUCUCCCGGUAAUUAUUAUUUUUAAUUAAGCGUCGCGACGCUGCGGCGAGGCGGCGACGAGUGAGAAAAUUUCGUCGAAGACUGUAAUUAAACGCGGAAAAAAAGCAUUUUUGCUUAAGGUGAAUUAAGGAAGAUUGGAUAUUUUAUCAACAUUACGGAAGUUAAACAAUCUAUCAAUUAAAAUUUUUAAUUUCAAAGUAAAUAUAUUUUUAGCUUGUGCAUUUAGUAGGUGCAUCGAAUUAUCGGAUUAUGUUGUUCAUAUUUUAUUCUGUUCAGAUACACCAAACGAUGUCUGACUGACGUUCCAAAUCUACUUUAAGCGCACUGUUGUCCAGUUAACAACAAUCUUAUUUUCGGACACGGAAUCUUGUUCGCGGCAUGGAUUAUGGAUCAAAUACGACAAAAGCAGACUAUUUAUAUCAAAGUACGAUCUUAACUUUAUAUGCAUGUGCUACUUGAGACAUAGUGUUCAAGCAGCAAAUCACUAGUCCCAAGAGAAGAUUCGCAAUAAAAGUGGUUAGAAUGACACGUGAAAUUGCCAGACGAAGCUAAAUAACUUACGAAUCGACUACGAGUUAAGAGCAUUCGUAGAUUUUUCUUUUUCUGCCGUUUCUCAUCCGCAAGAACACGUAUCCUGGUUACGGUACUAUCCUCUCGCGAAAACUGCUAACACGUAUAUAGUCGAAGGAAACGUGGACGCGCGGCUCGCAUAUGAAACUGUCGAGACACGUGGAACACUAAUUCAACGCACGUGUCACCUCCUGACAUCGCGGCACGUGCAAGUUCUUCCGUGACCACUGUAUGUGAACAUUGUGAAGCAACUUGCCGACACGCGAUAAAUUUCGUCGUUUGCAACAUCCUCGCGAAUUGUCCCGUGCCAAUGACACGCUACAACGCUGGAUAUUGCGCUAGCCGGAGGAAACUAGAACUCUAUUUGAUCAUAUAUGUUCCCUUAAUCGUGACAUUAAUCAAAAUUGAAUUAUGGUGUUAUUGUUCAUCUUGACAAUUAUUAUUUUAUGGUUGAUGAAAACUCGA
Bombus pascuorum is the source of this 2144-nucleotide long non-coding RNA. RefSeq lists it as uncharacterized. NCBI's taxonomy places the organism in Eukaryota, Metazoa, Arthropoda, Insecta, Hymenoptera, Apidae. The record is from RefSeq and is a predicted model, not a curated record. The transcript has 3 exons.